AGGACGAACGCUGGCGGCGUGCUUAACACAUGCAAGUCGAGCGGAAAGGCCCUUCGGGGUACUCGAGCGGCGAACGGGUGAGUAACACGUGAGCAACCUGCCCCUGGCUCUGGGAUAGCCUCCGGAAACGGGGAUUAAUACCGGAUAUUCACUGCUUCCUGCAUGGGGGGUGGUGGAAAGUUUUUCGGCUAGGGCGGGGCUCGCGGCCUAUCAGCUUGUUGGGGGGUGCGGCCCACCAAGGCGACGACGGGUAG
Molecule: ribosomal RNA, 254 nt
Filed under: uncultured bacterium
Lineage: Bacteria
Description: partial small subunit ribosomal RNA
Rfam family: Bacterial small subunit ribosomal RNA
Source: RNAcentral